Molecule: long non-coding RNA, 1382 nt
Organism: Homo sapiens (human)
Lineage: Eukaryota; Metazoa; Chordata; Mammalia; Primates; Hominidae
Gene: PPIEL
Product: peptidylprolyl isomerase E like (pseudogene)
Source: Ensembl
GGCGGCCGCCGAGAGGGUUCACAAAGGGUAGGGUGGUGUGGAGCAAGGCAGGGUCCUCGCAGGCAGUGCCAAGAUUGAGCUGGGGGUGGGCAGAGUGGGCGGGGUGCGGACCCAUGGCCCUACGCAUCCUGGGCCAGGUCUCUUGUGGUGCUUCACGCUCUCGACCUGUGAGUGGUGCCUGCUAGAGCUGCCCAGAUCCCUUUUCCCUACCCCUUCUGACCCUGGACCCAGAGUGGUGGUUGCGAUCUGCUACCGUGACGUCAGCCCUCAUUCGUUCGUUCCACAAACUCCACAGCUCUGGUCCAUUAGAGGAAGGAGGUCCCAGAAUAGCUGGGAAAUUACGAGAACAGCCUCACUGCACGAGUUGGUGAAUGCUGUGAUGGCGAUUGUAUGAUGGACGGUGAUGUUGAAACCAGACUGGGGAAUGACCGCCCCAUCCGGAGAGAGACGGGGUCUUGCUCUGUCAUCCAGGCUGGAUUGCAGUGUCAUUGAUCAUAGCUCAAGCGGUCUUCCUGCCUCAGCCUCCCAAAGUGCUGUGAUUACAGGUGUGAGCCACUGCACCUGGCCUCUUCAUAUCUUACAACGAAAAGCACCAAGGAUUCUCUUUUGUUGAAUUUGAGUUGGCAGAGGAUGUUGCAGCAGCUGUCAACAACAUGUUUGGUCAGAUGAAGACUGGGUGGAGAAGUUUGCUGGGAAGAGGAUAAAGAGGAAGGUGGUUGAGACUUCCCAAAGCAGAAAGCCAGGAGCGCAGCCCAUUUACUGCCUUCUCCAGGAAGCUUUUCUGAAUCCUCCAGUGAGUAAGGGAGAGCCCACUGCUAAAAAAGGCCUAGUCAAAUCCUCAGGUGUACAUGGACAUCAAGAUUGGGAACAAGCCGGCUGGCUGCAUCCAAACCCUCCUGCGUUCCGACGUCGUGCCCAUGACCACAGAGAAUUUUCUCUACAUGUGCACCCAUUUAAAGGACUCGGCUUCAAGGGAAGCAGCUUCCACCGCAUUAUCCCCCAGUUCAUUUGCCAGGGCAGUGAUUUCACAAACCACGGUGGCACCAGGGGUCUGCGCAGGCAUGGCACUAAGUGUCCCAUGGCACAUUUGGCCCUCAUGGAGGCCUCAAAAGGGCAGGACCAGCACCCUCUUCUACGGAGGAAGGAACGGGCACAGCAGAAACAAGGAGAGUCAGCAAUUACCAGCCAGCCAAGGUCCUGGAAGCUGACGUAGAGCUCGUGCCGACGGCAGACCUGCCGGCCGUGGGAGCCGCGGACGUCAUCUGCAGGGACAGAAGGGGCAAGGUCUUUUCUGGGGUUCCUGCUGUGUGCAGCUACUAUGGGGUACCAGGGUGGGGGAUGCCCUGAUGAGCACAUUUGUCAAAUAAAUGAAUGACAGGAAA